Molecule: long non-coding RNA, 262 nt
Filed under: Haliotis rubra (blacklip abalone)
Lineage: Eukaryota; Metazoa; Mollusca; Gastropoda; Lepetellida; Haliotidae
Description: uncharacterized LOC124278600
Source: RNAcentral
CAUAUUGUGCGUGCUGACGAGCCAUGAUAAUACGUGUGAAUAAAACGUCGAGCAUUUGUAUAAGGUGUGAGCUGAUAAUACGUGAUCCUGUUUGUAUAUCACAUGAAUGACAGUGUCAUAAGUUGUAUAUAUUACAAUGAUCAUUAUGAUAUGUUGAUUGAGUUUGUAUGAUGUAGAGUUAAUGUUGAUGGCAAUGAUGAUGAUGAUGAUGAUGAUGGAGUUUAGUGGAAAUAAACAAGAGUGCACCGCACAUGACAUACCA